This 303-nucleotide ribosomal RNA is filed under the name uncultured bacterium. RNAcentral's name for it is "partial 16S ribosomal RNA". It matches the Rfam family "Bacterial small subunit ribosomal RNA", at positions 507 to 807 of the family's 1533-position model. The record is from RNAcentral.
AGCAGUCGCCACGGGAAUACAGAGGAUGCAAGCGUUAUCCGGAAUGAUUGGGCGUAAAGCGUCUGUAGGUGGCUUUUCAAGUCCGCCGUCAAAUCCCGAGGCUCAACCCCGGAACUGCUUUUGAUACUGGCGAUCUUGAGUCCGGGAGAGGUGAGUGGAACUGCGAGUGUAGAGGUGAAAUUCGUAGAUAUUCGCAAGAACACCGGUGGCGAAGGCGGCUCACUGGCCCGGUACUGACGCUGAGGCACGAAAGCGUGGGGAGCAAACAGGAUUAGAUACCCCUGUAGUCCUUGUCUCUUAUAC